RNAcentral lists this ribosomal RNA (460 nucleotides) under uncultured bacterium. Its description in RNAcentral is "partial 16S ribosomal RNA". It matches the Rfam family "Bacterial small subunit ribosomal RNA", at positions 338 to 795 of the family's 1533-position model. The record is from RNAcentral.
CCUACGGGAGGCAGCAGUGAGGAAUAUUGGUCAAUGGCCGAAAGGCUGAACCAGCCAAGUCGCGUGAGGGAAGAAUGUCCUAAGGGUUGUAAACCUCUUUUGUGCGGGGGCAAAGGGGUUCUGGUGAGGAGGUUUGCAAGUACCGCAUGAAUAAGCAUCGGCUAACUCCGUGCCAGCAGCCGCGGUAAUACGGAAGGUGCGGGCGUUAUCCGGAUUUAUUGGGUUUAAAGGGGGCGCAGGCCGGCUUUCAAGCCAGCCGUGAAAUUGCGUGGCUCAACCCUGGGAGGGCGGUGUGAACUGGCGACCUUGAGUGCAGGCAAGGCAGGCGGAAUUCGUGGUGUAGCGGUGAAAUGCUUAGAUAUCACGAAGAACCCCGAUUGCGAAGGCAGCUUACCAGCCUGCGACUGACGCUCAGGCACGAAAGUGUGGGUAUCGAACAGGAUUAGAUACCCGAGUAGUC